CAGCGACGCCGAGCGCGCAGGCAACAGCCAAUGGCAAUCCGGCAUCGACUCCGAGAACGGCAAGUACCGCACCCAGCAUCAGCGUGUCGCCAUGGGCGAAGUUUACAGCCUUGGCUGACGACCACANNNNNNNNNNNNGCAUAAAUGCCUCCGAUGGCAAGGCCCGACAGGAUGUAUUGAAUGGUUGUCGUCACAACUCGAUUUAUCCUUGGGGGAAACAGCUUGGGUGAACUUCACUUGCGGCGGAUCGCGUGACUCAUACGCGUCCAGAAGGCGCGCGCCACACCUGCGC
RNAcentral lists this unclassified non-coding RNA (292 nucleotides) under Hevea brasiliensis (rubber tree). Lineage: Eukaryota; Viridiplantae; Streptophyta; Magnoliopsida; Malpighiales; Euphorbiaceae. The record is from RNAcentral.